RNAcentral lists this transfer RNA (70 nucleotides) under Cavia porcellus (domestic guinea pig). It matches the Rfam family "tRNA". Rfam says of the family: Transfer RNA (tRNA) molecules are approximately 80 nucleotides in length. Their secondary structure includes four short double-helical elements and three loops (D, anti-codon, and T loops). Lineage: Eukaryota; Metazoa; Chordata; Mammalia; Rodentia; Caviidae. The record is from Rfam by way of RNAcentral.
GGUGAUUUAGCUCAGUGGCGUAAGCACCUGCCUUGCAAGCAGGCGGUCAUGAGUUCAAUCCUCGGUACUG